GAUGAACGCUGGCGGCGUGCCUAAUACAUGCAAGUCGAGCGAACGGACGAGAAGCUUGCUUCUCUGAUGUUAGCGGCGGACGGGUGAGUAACACGUGGAUAACCUACCUAUAAGACUGGGAUAACUUCGGGAAACCGUAGCUAAUACCGGAUAAUAUUUUGAACCGCAUGGUUCAAAAGUGAAAGACGGUCUUGCUGUCACUUAUAGAUGGAUCCGCGCUGCAUUAGCUAGUUGGUAAGGUAACGGCUUACCAAGGCAACGAUGCAUAGCCGACCUGAGAGGGUGAUCGGCCACACUGGAACUGAGCCGCGGUCCAGACUCCUACGGGAGGCAGCAGUGGUGAAUCUUCCGCAAUGGGCGAAAGCCUGACGGAGCAACGCCGAGUGAGUGAUGAAGGUCUUCGGAUCGUAAAACUCUGUUAUUAGGGAAGAACAUAUGUGUAAGUAACUGUGCACAUCUUGACGGUACCUAAUCAGAAAGCCACGGCUAACUACGUG
This 497-nucleotide ribosomal RNA is filed under the name uncultured bacterium. Its description in RNAcentral is "partial 16S ribosomal RNA". It matches the Rfam family "Bacterial small subunit ribosomal RNA", at positions 28 to 507 of the family's 1533-position model. The record is from RNAcentral.